UUAAUUGAAACCAAAUUGAGGUAUGCCACUGUUAAUGGUAUCAUUGGGAGACAUCCCCAAUUAAA
Molecule: transfer RNA, 65 nt
Filed under: Olethrius laevipennis
Lineage: Eukaryota; Metazoa; Arthropoda; Insecta; Coleoptera; Cerambycidae
Description: tRNA-Asn
Source: RNAcentral